GGGCCUGUAGCUCAGCUGGGAGAGCGCCACACUGGCAGUGUGGAGGUCAGGGGUUCGAGCCCCCUCAGGUCCACCA
RNAcentral lists this transfer RNA (76 nucleotides) under Chloroflexota bacterium. Its description in RNAcentral is "Chloroflexi bacterium tRNA-Ala". It matches the Rfam family "tRNA". From Rfam's summary of the family: Transfer RNA (tRNA) molecules are approximately 80 nucleotides in length. Their secondary structure includes four short double-helical elements and three loops (D, anti-codon, and T loops). The record is from RNAcentral. RNAcentral also lists the same sequence under 2 other names. Lineage: Bacteria; Bacillati; Chloroflexota.